This 64-nucleotide transfer RNA is filed under the name Bothrops diporus. Its description in RNAcentral is "tRNA-Thr". It matches the Rfam family "tRNA". Rfam says of the family: Transfer RNA (tRNA) molecules are approximately 80 nucleotides in length. Their secondary structure includes four short double-helical elements and three loops (D, anti-codon, and T loops). The record is from RNAcentral. Lineage: Eukaryota; Metazoa; Chordata; Lepidosauria; Squamata; Viperidae.
GCCCUAAUAGCUUAAACCUUAAAGCGUUGACUUUGUAAGUCAAAACUGGACACCCCUUAGGGCA